AGACCCGAAACCCGGUGAUCUAGCCAUGGGCAGGUUGAAGGUUGGGUAACACUAACUGGAGGACCGAACCGACUAAUGUUGAAAAAUUAGCGGAUGACCUGUGGCUGGGGGUGAAAGGCCAAUCAAACCGGGAGAUAGCUGGUUCUCCCCGAAAGCUAUUUAGGUAGCGCCUCGUGAAUUCAUCUCCGGGGGUAGAGCACUGUUUCGGCUAGGGGGCCAUCCCGGCUUACCAACCCGAUGCAAACUGCGAAUACCGGAGAAUGUUAUCACGGGAGACACACGGCGGGUGCUAACGUCCGUCGUGAAGAGGGAAACAACCCAGACCGCCAGCUAAGGUCCCAAAGUCAUGGUUAAGUGGGAAACGAUGUGGGAAGGCCCAGACAGCCAGGAUGUUGGCUUAGAAGCAGCCAUCAUUUAAAGAAAGCGUAAUAGCUCACUGGUCGAGUCGGCCUGCGCGGAAGAUGUAACGGGGCUAAACCAUGCACCGAAGCUGCGGCAGCGAACGUAUCACCCAAGACAACUUUACGGAGUUGGCGAUUGACGGAGCGAAGCGACGUCAAAGCGUUCAUUAAAGUCGAGUUGGCUUAGGGAUACGUUCGUUGGGUAGGGGAGCGUUCUGUAAGCCUGUGAAGGUGUGUCGUGAGGCAUGCUGGAGGUAUCAGAAGUGCGAAUGCUGACAUAAGUAACGAUAAAGCGGGUGAAA
Molecule: ribosomal RNA, 703 nt
Filed under: Salmonella enterica
Lineage: Bacteria; Pseudomonadati; Pseudomonadota; Gammaproteobacteria; Enterobacterales; Enterobacteriaceae
Description: partial 23S ribosomal RNA
Rfam family: Bacterial large subunit ribosomal RNA
Source: RNAcentral